Long non-coding RNA from Solea senegalensis (Senegalese sole), 657 nucleotides. RefSeq lists it as uncharacterized. NCBI's taxonomy places the organism in Eukaryota, Metazoa, Chordata, Actinopteri, Pleuronectiformes, Soleidae. The record is from RefSeq and is a predicted model, not a curated record. The transcript has 4 exons.
UGUGGCAAGUUGAAGUGACCCGCAUUCUUCACGGGUGCACUCAAUUACCUGACAGAAUCAGUUGUCACGUCAUUGCGUAAUUGCGGGGCAGUGCCGCCCACUGUUAUAUAUAUGGGCAGGUGACUGCGCCUCUGACGUGCGUCAUACCUUUCUCCCGGAUGCUGUGAUCAGUCAGAUCGUGGUUUGGCGUGGCUGUGACAGAUCGGUGAUCCAUACUCCCUAAUUGUGCGAGUCUGCUGCAUUGUCUGUGCGGAGCUGACGUGUGCUCCCUCCACUGUGGGUGAACACAUCAGUGUCGGAAGUUGCUGUGGACGGCAAGUGAGCCGUGCGCUCCCUCUCUCUCUCGCUCUCCCUCUCCUCACGAGUUGGAAGCGCUGCGCUGCUAUCCUCUGGUAAUUGGGCCAGCGUGUGAAUCGCGGUGCCGCGGCCCUCUAGAAACCUCAGCCUCCAAGCCGUGGCCGACUGCUGUUUUGUCCCCCGCUCUUCUUUUAUUGUUUUAGUUCAUGUUGCCGCUACUACUACUACUACUACUACUACUACUACAACUAUCACCACUACUUCGUGACGAGUACAAUUUUGUGAUGGUUUAAAUUAUAGUUAUGAAUAUUGUUUCAGUUUGUUAGUUGCUUUAUUUUUGUUUGGUUGUUUGUGUGUUUG